AACGAACGCUGGCGGCAUGCCUAACACAUGCAAGUCGAACGAGACCUUCGGGUCUAGUGUCGCACGGGUUCGUAACGCGUGGGAACCUUCCCUUAGGUUCGGAAUAACUCCCCGAAAGGGGUGCUAAUACCGGAUAAUGUCUUCGGACCAAAGAUUUAUCGCCUUUGGAUGGGCCCGCGUUGGAUUAGCUAGUUGGUAGGGUAAAAGCAUACCAAGGCGACGAUCCAUAGCUGGUCUGAGAGGAUGAUCAGCCACACUGGGACUGAGACACGGCCCAGACUCCUACGGGAGGCAGCAGUGGGGAAUAUUGGACAAUGGGCGAAAGCCUGAUCCAGCAAUGCCGCGUGAGUGAUGAAGGCCUUAGGGUUGUAAAGCUCUUUUACCCGGGAUGAUAAUGACAGUACCGGGAGAAUAAGCUACGGCUAACUCCGUG
Molecule: ribosomal RNA, 433 nt
Filed under: uncultured bacterium
Lineage: Bacteria
Description: partial 16S ribosomal RNA
Rfam family: Bacterial small subunit ribosomal RNA
Source: RNAcentral